This 85-nucleotide transfer RNA is filed under the name Candidatus Shikimatogenerans bostrichidophilus. RNAcentral describes it as "tRNA-Leu". It matches the Rfam family "tRNA". From Rfam's summary of the family: Transfer RNA (tRNA) molecules are approximately 80 nucleotides in length. Their secondary structure includes four short double-helical elements and three loops (D, anti-codon, and T loops). Further hydrogen bonds mediate the characteristic L-shaped molecular structure. tRNAs have two regions of fundamental functional importance: the anti-codon, which is responsible for specific mRNA codon recognition, and the 3' end, to which the tRNAs corresponding amino acid is attached (by aminoacyl-tRNA synthetases). tRNAs cope with the degeneracy of the genetic code in two manners: having more than one tRNA (with a specific anti-codon) for a particular amino acid; and 'wobble' base-pairing, i.e. permitting non-standard base-pairing at the 3rd anti-codon position. The record is from RNAcentral. Lineage: Bacteria; Pseudomonadati; Bacteroidota; Flavobacteriia; Flavobacteriales.
ACCCGAGUGGCGAAAAUGGUAUACGCGCUGAUUUCAAAAAUCAGUGAUAAUAAAUAUCAUGAGGGUUCGAAUCCCUUCUCGGGUA